RNAcentral lists this microRNA precursor (84 nucleotides) under Bombyx mori (domestic silkworm). RNAcentral describes it as "mir-2807 microRNA precursor family". It matches the Rfam family "mir-2807 microRNA precursor family". Lineage: Eukaryota; Metazoa; Arthropoda; Insecta; Lepidoptera; Bombycidae. The record is from Rfam by way of RNAcentral.
UUAAUUCAAAUUUGUAUGCAGUUGGAACGUUUGCGUACGUUUGCCGCUAGGGGCGCUGUUCGAACUGCAUAAAAAUUCGAGUUA